This 1509-nucleotide ribosomal RNA is filed under the name Helicobacter pylori. RNAcentral describes it as "bacterial SSU rRNA". It matches the Rfam family "Bacterial small subunit ribosomal RNA". The record is from RNAcentral. Lineage: Bacteria; Pseudomonadati; Campylobacterota; Epsilonproteobacteria; Campylobacterales; Helicobacteraceae.
UUUAUGGAGAGUUUGAUCCUGGCUCAGAGUGAACGCUGGCGGCGUGCCUAAUACAUGCAAGUCGAACGAUGAAGCUUCUAGCUUGCUAGAAUGCUGAUUAGUGGCGCACGGGUGAGUAACGCAUAGGUCAUGUGCCUCUUAGUUUGGGAUAGCCAUUGGAAACGAUGAUUAAUACCAGAUACUCCCUACGGGGGAAAGAUUUAUCGCUAAGAGAUCAGCCUAUGUCCUAUCAGCUUGUUGGUAAGGUAAUGGCUUACCAAGGCUAUGACGGGUAUCCGGCCUGAGAGGGUGAACGGACACACUGGAACUGAGACACGGUCCAGACUCCUACGGGAGGCAGCAGUAGGGAAUAUUGCUCAAUGGGGGAAACCCUGAAGCAGCAACGCCGCGUGGAGGAUGAAGGUUUUAGGAUUGUAAACUCCUUUUGUUAGAGAAGAUAAUGACGGUAUCUAACGAAUAAGCACCGGCUAACUCCGUGCCAGCAGCCGCGGUAAUACGGAGGGUGCAAGCGUUACUCGGAAUCACUGGGCGUAAAGAGCGCGUAGGCGGGAUAGUCAGUCAGGUGUGAAAUCCUAUGGCUUAACCAUAGAACUGCAUUUGAAACUACUAUUCUAGAGUGUGGGAGAGGUAGGUGGAAUUCUUGGUGUAGGGGUAAAAUCCGUAGAGAUCAAGAGGAAUACUCAUUGCGAAGGCGACCUGCUGGAACAUUACUGACGCUGAUUGCGCGAAAGCGUGGGGAGCAAACAGGAUUAGAUACCCUGGUAGUCCACGCCCUAAACGAUGGAUGCUAGUUGUUGGAGGGCUUAGUCUCUCCAGUAAUGCAGCUAACGCAUUAAGCAUCCCGCCUGGGGAGUACGGUCGCAAGAUUAAAACUCAAAGGAAUAGACGGGGACCCGCACAAGCGGUGGAGCAUGUGGUUUAAUUCGAAGAUACACGAAGAACCUUACCUAGGCUUGACAUUGAGAGAAUCCGCUAGAAAUAGUGGAGUGUCUAGCUUGCUAGACCUUGAAAACAGGUGCUGCACGGCUGUCGUCAGCUCGUGUCGUGAGAUGUUGGGUUAAGUCCCGCAACGAGCGCAACCCCCUUUCUUAGUUGCUAACAGGUUAUGCUGAGAACUCUAAGGAUACUGCCUCCGUAAGGAGGAGGAAGGUGGGGACGACGUCAAGUCAUCAUGGCCCUUACGCCUAGGGCUACACACGUGCUACAAUGGGGUGCACAAAGAGAAGCAAUACUGCGAAGUGGAGCCAAUCUUCAAAACACCUCUCAGUUCGGAUUGUAGGCUGCAACUCGCCUACAUGAAGCUGGAAUCGCUAGUAAUCGCAAAUCAGCCAUGUUGCGGUGAAUACGUUCCCGGGUCUUGUACUCACCGCCCGUCACACCAUGGGAGUUGUGUUUGCCUUAAGUCAGGAUGCUAAAUUGGCUACUGCCCACGGCACACACAGCGACUGGGGUGAAGUCGUAACAAGGUAACCGUAGGUGAACCUGCGGUUGGAUCACCUCCUUUCUAGA